UGGAGGCAGCAGUGGGGAAUCUUCCGCAAUGGACGAAAGUCUGACGGAGUAACGCCGCGUGAGGGAUGAAGGCCUUCGGGUUGUAAGCCUCUGUCUUCAGGGAAGAAAAAAAUGACGGUACCUGAGGAGGAAGCCCCGGCUAACUACGUGCCAGCAGCCGCGGUAAUACGUAGGGGGCGAGCGUUAUCCGGAAUCAUUGGGCGUAAAGGGCGCGUAGGCGGAUAUUUAAGUCAGGUGUGAAAACCCAGGGCUCAACCCUGGAUCUGCAUCUGAUACUGGAUAUCUUGAGGACAGGAGAGGAAAGUGGAAUUCCUAGUGUAGCGGUGAAAUGCGUAGAUAUUAGGAGGAACACCAGUGGCGAAGGCGACUUUCUGGACUGUAACUGACGCUGAGGCGCGAAAGCGUGGGGAGCAAACAGGAUUAGAUACCCCCGUAGUCCC
RNAcentral lists this ribosomal RNA (440 nucleotides) under uncultured bacterium. RNAcentral describes it as "bacterial SSU rRNA". It matches the Rfam family "Bacterial small subunit ribosomal RNA", at positions 343 to 797 of the family's 1533-position model. The record is from RNAcentral.